AAAGAAAGCUGGAGGCAUGCCUAACACAUGCAAGUCGAACGAAGCCUUCGGGCUUAGUGGCGCACGGGUGCGUAACGCGUGGGAAUCUGCCCCUUGCUUCGGAAUAACAGUUAGAAAUGACUGCUAAUACCGGAUGAAGUCUUCGGACCAAAGAUUUAUCGGCAAGGGAUGAGCCCGCGUAGGAUUAGGUAGUUGGUGGGGUAAAGGCCUACCAAGCCGACGAUCCUUAGCUGGUCUGAGAGGAUGAUCAGCCACACUGGGACUGAGACACGGCCCAGACUCCUACGGGAGGCAGCAGUGGGGAAUAUUGGACAAUGGACGCAAGUCUGAUCCAGCAAUGCCGCGUGAGUGAUGAAGGCCUUAGGGUUGUAAAGCUCUUUUACCAGGGAUGAUAAUGACAGUACCUGGAGAAUAAGCUCCGGCUAACUCCGUG
RNAcentral lists this ribosomal RNA (433 nucleotides) under uncultured bacterium. Its description in RNAcentral is "partial 16S ribosomal RNA". It matches the Rfam family "Bacterial small subunit ribosomal RNA", at positions 31 to 507 of the family's 1533-position model. The record is from RNAcentral.